GGCUUGAGACAAGAGGGCUUACUCACGUCAUAACAGCGUAGUAGGAAAUGAUGGCGAGGGGAGUACGGAAAUGUUAUUCACUGUGGAACAGGUCAUAGGACAGCGUGAAUGUCUGUCAGCUGUCCUUAAUUACCCCCAGCAAUUACUGCUGACCAACAGCUGCCGUUACUUGGCCACAAAUUAUCCAUCAUGGUGUCGCCCCCACUGACCAUGUGCAAGGGAGUACGAAAAUGGCAUCCAUCGCACCCACUGACCAAUGACCACGCAAGGGAGUUAAUUUUCCAUCCACUCGUGUCCUCAGGCAACGCCCCCGUACUACACCGUGGCCAAUGCAUUCCCCACCAAGAGAUUGUUCUUUCUCUUGAGUUUCUUUGAUGCUGACCAAGUCUGGGACAUAACAAAGUGUCGUCGGCUAGCAUGGGUCGCUGCUGUAAGACGACCAAAAAUAACUUUCCACUCAAUCCUGACGAGUGUGCUCUCUGCAUUUUCAUUUUGGUACACCAGCAAAUGAAAUGAACACCUCCCAUCCGGAUUGGGCACUAUCACUGCACUUGGGGUACACGACCAAGACAGUCACCACCACCACCGAGACUUCUCGCUAUGAGACAGGAACAAAGAAAACGACGAAGGACUGAGAGCAUAGCGUCGAUGGAUGAGACACCCCUUGUUACACCAGUGGAGACAACUGGGGGAGCAUCAGCAUCAGCACCUGCAGGCCUAGAGGAUGAAGCUGACCAGGGGCCGGUGUGUGCUGAGGUAAAGAUCCCCGCCUUCACAAGAGGACACUGUCAAUUGGAAGCAAGAGAUGUGGAAAACACAAGGACAAUUGCUCAUCUCCGAAUUCACGUGGAAAGGGUGAUUGGAACUGUCUGAAACAAAUACACAAUUUUGUCUGCAAAAGUGCCCAUCAACAUGGUGUUGCCAUGUGAAGGUGAAGAAAAAACAUUCCUUGACAAGAUUGUGUCUGUAUGUUGUACUCUGACCAUCAUGAGCAGGAGUGUUGUGCAAAGCUGAAGUUGACUGAAAUAAAUGUGCUUUGAGACUCAA
Engraulis encrasicolus (European anchovy) is the source of this 1047-nucleotide long non-coding RNA. RefSeq lists it as uncharacterized. The record is from RefSeq and is a predicted model, not a curated record. The transcript is spliced from 3 exons. NCBI's taxonomy places the organism in Eukaryota, Metazoa, Chordata, Actinopteri, Clupeiformes, Engraulidae.